This is an RNA transcript of Papaver somniferum (opium poppy), 1534 nucleotides long. RefSeq lists it as uncharacterized. The record is from RefSeq and is a predicted model, not a curated record. NCBI's taxonomy places the organism in Eukaryota, Viridiplantae, Streptophyta, Magnoliopsida, Ranunculales, Papaveraceae. The transcript is spliced from 4 exons.
UAUAAGAAGCCCUAGCGAUGGCGGAAGAAUCAUCAUCAACAUCUGUUAUUCUUCAGUUUGCUCCAUUCCAAAGUGCUGUUGAUGAUGGAUUAAUCUCCGGUCUCAAUCACUGGUAUAAAGUUAAAUUCUUAAACAGUUCUAUCCCUUUUUUCGUUAAUCGUUAUGAUGAUAUAUAUUUGUGUGGUUGGCAUGGAGUCGGAGAUGGGUUUGUGCGAUUCGGAGUCUGCCAAGGGUUUGAGGAGAAUACACUCAUUUCAGUCGUGGUAACAUCAGAUCAUGCACACAAAGUGUUUGAGGAAAUGCCUGACAGACCAGUUGAAGAACACAGAUCGAACACAGAUCGUGGACAGAGUUUGGGUGGAAAAAGUACUGAUGUUUGUUCUCUAUCAUGCCUUAUGGUUUUGUUAUUUUUCAUUCAUCUAACUUCUGAGUUUCUUUUUCUAAGUCGUUCAUGCAUCUCUUAAUGUUGUCCAUUGGCAGAGCUGUAAGAGGGAAAUAAUGCUGCGGUUUUUUAGUGGUGAGGAACGUACGAUUGUUUCUUAAUGUAAGAAUCUUCUUUCAUUUUAUUGUAUGUUUGGGUGCAGCUGAUUGUGUUGGGUGGAUGCAUGAUAUCGCAACUUGAAUGGAAAAUCAAUUCAUACUUUCCUUAUUAAUGGCUCUAAUCUGAGUUCAAUUGUAAGGAAAAUUUCAACUAUUUUGUGCUUUCUCAAAUGUGAGGCAUCUGAAAAUGUUAUAAUCCAUGGACAAUAUCUUAUGUUUACAGCUUUGAGGGUCUUUGAUUGAGGGUUAGUUGGACUCUAUUACAGUCGAGUUAAAUUAGUUGCACGUGAGUUAAUUGUAAGGAAAAUUUCAACUAUUUUGUUCUCUCUCAAGUAAUUUCAGUCUCCCAGGGCAUAUAUGCAGAGGGAUGUUUUAAAGUACGAUUACUACAUUGGUGCUCAGCCAUUAGCAGGAAGACUCACCCGAGUACAUUCACCAAUUUAGCUGCAAAAGUCCCAUGUCUUCUCAUCCGCCAUUCAAGGAGGCUCCUCUUGGUAACAUUUCCACAAUUGCACUCCGUGACACAGAUUCACAAAUACCAUAUAUUGAUAUCAGUGUCAAUUGGAUGUUGGUAAGAAAUAAGGAUGACUCUGCAAAUACGCGAAACCAUUCUCUCAGGACAUUAGUGGAGUCUGGUGGAUGACUGGGAAGACUCCAUGGCUUCCUUUUGGUUUGGCAUCUCUUUUAUGUCAUCCUUGGAGGCAGAAAUGUACGUGGUAUAUUCAUGUUUUCCUGCCAUUCAAUAAAUUAAUCAUGUUUCUUAGACAUAGCUAGGAAGGUUGGAGUUUUAGCCACAUUAAGAAUCCAUCACACAUGAUUAAACACAGUCAAACUUAUGGAGAUAGUAUCACUUAAAAAAUUGGGUCCAUAUCAAUUCACUUAUCAACAUGGGAUAAGGAACCAGAGGUUAAAGUGGAUGAUGUAAGAUGUAAUACGAAUUGUGGCUGUGAAAUUUUCACCAUCACCCCUUAUCUAUCCUUUUUGAUAAUGACAU